RNAcentral lists this ribosomal RNA (253 nucleotides) under uncultured bacterium. RNAcentral describes it as "partial 16S ribosomal RNA". It matches the Rfam family "Bacterial small subunit ribosomal RNA", at positions 524 to 776 of the family's 1533-position model. The record is from RNAcentral.
UACAGAGGGUGCAAGCGUUAAUCGGAAUUACUGGGCGUAAAGCGCGCGUAGGCGGCUGCCUAAGUCGGAUGUGAAAGCCCCGGGCUCAACCUGGGAACUGCAUUCGAUACUGGGCGGCUAGAGUAUGAGAGAGGGAGGUAGAAUUCCACGUGUAGCGGUGAAAUGCGUAGAUAUGUGGAGGAAUACCGGUGGCGAAGGCAGGUCUCUGGGCUGACACUGACGCUCAUGCACGAAAGCGUGGGGAGCAAACAGG